UACGAAGGGGGCUAGCGUUGUUCGGAAUCACUGGGCGUAAAGCGCACGUAGGCGGCUUCUUAAGUCAGGGGUGAAAUCCUGGAGCUCAACUCCAGAACUGCCUUUGAUACUGAGGAGCUCGAGUCCGGGAGAGGUGAGUGGAACUCCGAGUGUAGAGGUGAAAUUCGUAGAUAUUCGGAAGAACACCAGUGGCGAAGGCGGCUCACUGGCCCGGUACUGACGCUGAGGUGCGAAAGCGUGGGGAGCAAACAGG
Molecule: ribosomal RNA, 253 nt
Filed under: uncultured bacterium
Lineage: Bacteria
Description: partial 16S ribosomal RNA
Rfam family: Bacterial small subunit ribosomal RNA
Source: RNAcentral